UCAUAAAAUAAGCAUGUGUACUAAAUAUUGGACCAAUAUAGAGAAGAUUAGCACUGCCUCUGCACGAGGGCAACAUGCAAAUUUGUGAAGUGUUCUACAUUUUU
This 104-nucleotide small nuclear RNA is filed under the name Procavia capensis (Cape rock hyrax). Lineage: Eukaryota; Metazoa; Chordata; Mammalia; Hyracoidea; Procaviidae. The record is from RNAcentral.